GUUGAGGACAUACCCUUUUUGAAAUCCCUAUCUGUCCCUCUAAGUCUUUUCCAUCUUUUUUCACAGCCAUCAUCAAGCAAAAGAGAAAUUCGAGCAAGAAAAUUGCCUAACUCUGCAACUCGCUCCCUCUCUCACAGCAUAGGUGUUAGUUGGGACUCUGCAACUCUUGAUGGCUUCCUGCUCUGGAAAGAGCGCUGACACCAGAGAUGGUGGAUCUACUUUACCAGA
Molecule: unclassified non-coding RNA, 228 nt
Filed under: Hevea brasiliensis (rubber tree)
Lineage: Eukaryota; Viridiplantae; Streptophyta; Magnoliopsida; Malpighiales; Euphorbiaceae
Source: RNAcentral